RNAcentral lists this ribosomal RNA (214 nucleotides) under Chaetothyriales sp. Its description in RNAcentral is "partial large subunit ribosomal RNA". Lineage: Eukaryota; Fungi; Ascomycota; Eurotiomycetes; Chaetothyriales. The record is from RNAcentral.
AAGCGCUUGCAACCAGACUUGUUUUUAAUGGUUCCCUCAAUCUUUUGAUUGGGCUAUUCCAUUAUAUUCAGGCCAACAUCGGUUUUGGCGGCCGGUUAAAGGCCUUGGGAAUGUAUCUUCCUCCGGGAAGACUUAUAGCCCAGGGCGCCAUGCGGCCCGCCGGGACCGAGGAACGCGCUUCGUGCUCGGAUGUUGGCGUAAUGGUUGUCAGCGA